Camelus ferus (Wild Bactrian camel) is the source of this 72-nucleotide transfer RNA. It matches the Rfam family "tRNA". From Rfam's summary of the family: Transfer RNA (tRNA) molecules are approximately 80 nucleotides in length. The record is from Rfam. Lineage: Eukaryota; Metazoa; Chordata; Mammalia; Artiodactyla; Camelidae.
UGGGGUAUAGCUCAGCAGUAGAGUGCACGCUUACCAUGCAGGAGGUCCUGGGUUCAAUCCCCAGUACUUCCA